This 82-nucleotide transfer RNA is filed under the name Hypsizygus marmoreus. It matches the Rfam family "tRNA". From Rfam's summary of the family: Transfer RNA (tRNA) molecules are approximately 80 nucleotides in length. Their secondary structure includes four short double-helical elements and three loops (D, anti-codon, and T loops). The record is from Rfam by way of RNAcentral. Lineage: Eukaryota; Fungi; Basidiomycota; Agaricomycetes; Agaricales; Lyophyllaceae.
GGCCGCCUGGCGAAAUGGCAUCGCGUCUGACUACGAUUCAGCGUUCAUCAGGAGAUUGCAGGUUCGACCCCUGCGGUGGUCA